RNAcentral lists this long non-coding RNA (548 nucleotides) under Canis lupus familiaris (dog). RNAcentral's name for it is "lncRNA (ENSCAFG00845009263.1)". Lineage: Eukaryota; Metazoa; Chordata; Mammalia; Carnivora; Canidae. The record is from RNAcentral.
AGGGAGAAUUGGAGACAAAGUUUGGGGACUUUGUAAAAUUAAGAAUAUAAAGAUUAUGAGGAAAGGAAUGUAAAUACAGAUAGUAAAGAAUAUAGAGUAAUUCUUUGUCCUUGAGUAUUUGAUAGAACAUUAGUUGGAAACCACUGGAUCUGAGCUACUUUAGAUGGAGGGGUAUUCCAGGAAUAUUCUGUUAAAUGUUCAACAACUGGGUCUCUGAAAAGAAAAAGCCCUGAUUUGUAGUGUUUGCCAAUUUCUGUGAUGUAAAUAUUUCCAUCAUGGGACAUUUCAAGCUACCAAUGUGAUGUCACUGAACACAGAAGUGUUACAUACGAUCCACUCUCCAGAGCUCAGCAUAUCACCAGGAUGAUAUGCUUGGCAAGGUGAGACAGUGCUCUGAAAGACAGUGGAGAAAGAACAGGACUGAGGACAACUGCCUCCCACAGGCUUUGCUAGCUUGCUGCAGAGUCUUACUGGGAAAUAAGAGUCUCCACUCAGAAUUCUUGCGAAAUGAUCAUACAUGGAUACAGCAUAGAAUGUGCUAUGUUUAA